GACGAACGCUGGCGGCGUGCUUAACACAUGCAAGUCGAACGGAAAGGCCCUGCUUUUGUGGGGUUCUCGAGGGGCGAACGGGUGAGUAACACGUGAGUAACCUGCCCUUGUCUUUGGGGUAACUUCAGGAAACUGGGGCUAAUACCGGAUAGGAGCUCCUGCUGCAUGGUGGGGGUUGGAAAGUUUCGGCGGUCGGGGAUGGACUGGCGGCUUAUCAGCUUGUUGGUGGGGUAGUGGCUUACCAAGGCUUUGAAGGGUAGCCGGCCUGAGAGGGUGACCGGCGACAUUGGGACUGAGAGACGGCCCAGACUCCUACGGGAGGCAGCAGUGGGGAAUAUUGCACAGUGAGCGGAAGCCUGAUGCGGCGACGCCGCGUGCGGGAUGACGGCCUUCGGGUUGUAAACCGCUUUCGCCUGUGACGAAGCGUGAGUGACGGUAAUGGGUAAAGAAGCACCGGCUAACUACGUG
RNAcentral lists this ribosomal RNA (468 nucleotides) under uncultured bacterium. RNAcentral's name for it is "partial 16S ribosomal RNA". It matches the Rfam family "Bacterial small subunit ribosomal RNA", at positions 28 to 507 of the family's 1533-position model. The record is from RNAcentral.